Molecule: long non-coding RNA, 512 nt
Filed under: Trifolium pratense (red clover)
Lineage: Eukaryota; Viridiplantae; Streptophyta; Magnoliopsida; Fabales; Fabaceae
Description: long non-coding RNA (TPRA_LNC013171)
Source: RNAcentral
CACAACCACGAAUUGCAAAUCCCUCCGCCGAAUCCUCCGCCGCCGAAUCGCAAAUAUGGAACCACAAAUCCCUCCGCUGGAUCCUUAAUCGAAGAACCUCAAACCCCUUCGUCGUCCUCCUUCGUUCAAUCCGUCAAUAUCUCUGCCGUUCUUCUUCAAUUACUCCACCGUUCUCCUUUAAUCCUCCGCCGUUCUCUGCGGUCCAAGGUAUCGAGUAACUCCGACCAUCUCUCUGCUGUUUCAUUGUAUUGAUUGCAUGCUUGUUGUUUAUCUUUAGCUUGUUGUUUUGUUAGUUAGGUAUCAUUCAAUUCUUCUCUCUGUGAAUCAAAGAAGCCCCUUUGUGAGUUGUUCUUAUGGUCUCAAGUUAUGGUUUGUUUUUUGUUUCUUUUACUGCAUUUUUUGUAAUUUCCCCUUAGAAGCCCCUUUGUUUUUGUUUCACUCUCAAUUUAUGUUUUGUUUCUUUUGCUGUACUAUAUUUUUUAUUUCCCUGGGAUAUGAGGUUUUAAUCUUUG